ACGGAUGCUUAUACGGCGAGUGAAGCGGCAAAAGCUCAAAUUUGAAAUCUGGCGCCUUCGGUGUCCGAGUUGUAAUUUGAAGAUUGUAACCUUGGGGUUGGCUCUUGUCUAUGUUUCUUGGAACAGGACGUCACAGAGGGUGAGAAUCCCGUGCGAUGAGAUGCCCAAUUCUAUGUAAGGUGCUUUCGAAGAGUCGAGUUGUUUGGGAAUGCAGCUCUAAGUGGGUGGUAAAUUCCAUCUAAAGCUAAAUAUUGGCGAGAGACCGAUAGCGAACAAGUACAGUGAUGGAAAGAUGAAAAGAACUUUGAAAAGAGAGUGAAAAAGUACGUGAAAUUGUUGAAAGGGAAGGGUUUGAGAUCAGACUCGAUAUUUUGUGAGCCUUGCCUUCGUGGCGGGGUGACCCGCAGCUUAUCGGGCCAGCAUCGGUUUGGGCGGUAGGAUAAUGGCGUAGGAAUGUGACUUUACUUCGGUGAAGUGUUAUAGCCUGCGUUGAUGCUGCCUGCCUAGACCGAGGACUGCGAUUUUAUCAAGGAUGCUGGCAUAAUGAUCCCAAACCGCCCGUCUUGAAACCGGCCCA
Molecule: ribosomal RNA, 577 nt
Filed under: fungal yeast sp. DY18
Lineage: Eukaryota; Fungi
Description: eukaryotic LSU rRNA
Rfam family: Eukaryotic large subunit ribosomal RNA
Source: RNAcentral